Fopius arisanus is the source of this 995-nucleotide long non-coding RNA. RefSeq lists it as uncharacterized. The transcript has 3 exons. The record is from RefSeq and is a predicted model, not a curated record. NCBI's taxonomy places the organism in Eukaryota, Metazoa, Arthropoda, Insecta, Hymenoptera, Braconidae.
CUCGGGAGUCUUGAAUUUCAAGAGGAUAUUAUUUGAAAUUGUAAGUGGAAAUUCAUGGAAAUUAUUUUCGGCAAUUGAAGAUUUACUAAGAAGCUAUUUUCGGAUAUAAGCGGAAUGAAAAAAUUGAAGAGACGGUUUACCUGAACUUGGCCGGGCCGUCACGGUUCCUCGAUUGCCGAAUGCAGUCGUCAGCUGAGUGCCACGACCUACUACGUGUGACGUCAUAUAUAGCGCACGAGGCUGAUGGAUUAACAUUAGCAUUGACGGCCGCCUAAAUAUAUUAACAAGGAAACAAAGUUAUGGUGAUUAGAAUUGGGAUCGCAAAUAGUUUUGUUAUCGGACGAGCGAGGGUCACUGGAAGAUUGAUAGUCACGUGAAGGAGGCUCGUACCGCAUGUGAUCACCGUUGGCACCCUCUUCCCCGUCGCCGACUGAAUAACCGGAAUGAUAAAACGUAUCUAUUACAUGCUAACACGUGCAGGAAGUUGUGCGUAAUUGUCCCACAUACACAACAAUGAACAUUCAAGCGAAGAAAUAAAAAUUACACAAAGAAAUGUCUCGUAAGGAAGUUUCCUGCCCAAACUGAAGAAUUUUUUCUCAUUCUCAUGAUUGAGGCAUUAACCAAAUGUACGAACCAAAAAGAAUUUCAUCAUCAUGAUGGAGGAUGUGUAUUAAUGAAUAUUUAGAGGCAAAGAGGCAUAUAUUAUACAAAUCUGGGCGAGAUCAUCGUCUGUGUCAGUUUGAUCACAAGCAAUCGCAUUUUCUUCGCAUUUUUUUUCGCAUUUUUAUGAAUUAAUAACCACUGGAAGAUGACAAAAUAUUCGCAGUCGGUAGGAUUCGAACCUACGCUCCCAGAGGGAAUCUGAUUUCUAGUCAGACGCCUUAACCACUCGGCCACGACUGCAUUUUUUUUUUUACUUAAAGAGUUUAUUGCCAUCAUAUACAUAUAUACAGUGUAUGUACAAGUAGUAAUACUCAAUAGCCAGAUCUACAGCC